GGAGACACAGGCGGAGGUGUAACAGGCAGAGGUGACUGUAGCUGCUGAAAGGAGAAGUGCCACAGAAGCUUCAUGAGAAGCGGCAUCCCCAGAUCGUCACUCAGAAAAUGGCCGGAAAGUCCCAAGCGGACCUUCCAGCAUCGGACCACCCCGAGACAAUUGCCAUGAAGGCUGAAGCAAGCAUGAACUAUCACAUCUGUGUAGACGAAAUCUACACCAGGGAACAGAAGGUGGACCAUGCGUACAGGUUCGGUACGCUGGUGUGCGAAAAGACCAUCCACUACACCGAGCGGGAGAAGGCACACAGAAAACAAGUGGAAUUCCUUCGGAGGGAGGUUGAAAGACGUGGCAAAAUUAUCCACCAAUUGGAACUGGACCUGGCGGCAUCCGAGGCCAGCUUGUCUGCCUCGCAGACAAAUCUGGACGCCACACAAAAUGUUAAAAAAAAAUGCAGAUUACCCAACAUGUGAAAACUCAUUUAUUACCAACGCAACCAACCGACUCAUUUAUUAACCUAGCUUACAAAAUGUGCAUCCCAAUCCAAAGGAUGAUUACAAAUGGAAUAUUAACAUUUCUUUCCUUCAUAUCUAGAACUGGAUGACCUCCAAUUUAUCAACGCCUCCCAAGAACACGACAACCAGAACCGCACAACCGCCUCCCAAGAUACGGAUUCGUCCCAGCCAUUGUGUUCGACAAUGAUUGACGACAUGGACGAGAACGGGAACGGAGAUACAUUUUGCACUACCAGGCCCCUGAAAACACUCCAGGCCCCUGUAAAACGAAGAUAUUGUAAAUAGUGUGAUUUUUUUUAUAUAGUGUGGUGUUGUAAAUAGUGUGUUUUUUUUAUUUGUAUACUCCAACAAAAACUCAAACAUCUGAUAUUGUUUCAUAUUUACACAAAUUGCCCAUGCAAAAAGGAAUGUUUCACAAUUCGUGUUCUUUUCUGUACUUGUGUGCCUGUGCUGGAACCGUCAAAUAUCCCAGGAUGCAUUUCGCAUAGGCUAUAUAGGGACAUUUUAAAAGUAUAACAAAGAUGGAGGCCUAUUAUUUACAUACUAUUUUAAAAUUAAAGAGGGGUGGACAUUUUAAAAGAAUAACACAGAUGGAGGCCUAUUAUUUACACACUAUUUUAAAAUGAAAGAGGGGUUUUGCUUUAUAUAAUUUGUUUAAGCAACUGAUUGUUUAUAUGUAGGGUUGCUUGCCGUGUGAAUACCAGGGUUCGUACAGAUGCUUGAAAGUCGGGAAAAUGCUUGAUUUUAACCAUAGUGUUUUCAAGGUUUGAAAUGUGCUUGAAAUUUGAACACUGCUGGAAAAUGCUUGAUUUUCUCUAUAUUGAUCAGUGUUGUAUUUUAACAAAUAGGCUACAAAAUAUUUUUAUUCUGUACAUUUUUUAAAAAUUAAGUCGGAAUGUUUUUUUCUCCGCCGUCUGCUCCCCGUGUUUUCUUUCCAUGCGCAUGCGCCUCACAUGGCGAUCACUUCAGCAAUUAUCCAGAACCACGUCGCUGCUCACAAGGACCUAUCGCUCCCGAAACCACCAUGCCAGGUUGCCGUUUCAAUGCUCA
Gadus morhua (Atlantic cod) is the source of this 1562-nucleotide long non-coding RNA. NCBI's taxonomy places the organism in Eukaryota, Metazoa, Chordata, Actinopteri, Gadiformes, Gadidae. The record is from Ensembl.